UACGGGGGGGGCAAGCGUUGUUCGGAAUUACUGGGCGUAAAGGGCUCGUAGGCGGCCAACUAAGUCAGACGUGAAAUCCCUCGGCUUAACCGGGGAACUGCGUCUGAUACUGGAUGGCUUGAGUUUGGGAGAGGGAUGCGGAAUUCCAGGUGUAGCGGUGAAAUGCGUAGAUAUUAGGAAGAACACCGGUGGCGAAGGCGGCCAUCUGGCUCGGUACUGACGCUCAGGCGCGAAAGCGUGGGGAGCAAACAGG
This 253-nucleotide ribosomal RNA is filed under the name uncultured bacterium. Its description in RNAcentral is "partial 16S ribosomal RNA". It matches the Rfam family "Bacterial small subunit ribosomal RNA", at positions 524 to 776 of the family's 1533-position model. The record is from RNAcentral.